CCCGAGACAGGAAUGCAUGUAAGAGUCCGUAGUGUCACAACAAAAGCUCAAAUUUGAAAUCUGGCACCUUCGGUGUCCUAGUUGUAAUUUGAAGAAGGUAACUUUGGAGUUGGCUCUUGUCUAUGUUCCUUGGAACAGGACGUCACAGAAGGUGAGAACACUCCCGACCAAGAGACCCCCAAUUCUAUGUAAGUUGCUUCCAAAAAUUCAAUUUUUUAGGAAAUCCACCUCUGAGGGGGUGGAAAAUUCCAUCUAACCCUAAUUAUGGACAAAAAACCAAAACCAAACAAUUCCAGUGAUGAAAAAAUAAAAAAAAUUUUAAAAAAAAAUUGAAAAAUUUCUUAAAAUUGUUAAAGGGAAAGGCCUUAAAAUCAAACUUGUUUUUUUCCAAUCUUUUCCUUCUUGGUGGGGUUCCCCGCAGCUAACUGGGCCACCACCGUUUUGGAGUGAAGAAUAAUGACAAAGGAUUGUGCUCUCUCUUUCGUUGGAGUGUUAUACUCUUUGGUUGAUACUGCCUGUCAACACAUAGCACUGCCUUUUUUGACCAAGAUGUUGCUCUAAUGAUCUUCAACCCCCCCUCAAAAAAGAACAAAAAAAAANU
Molecule: ribosomal RNA, 601 nt
Filed under: Debaryomyces hansenii
Lineage: Eukaryota; Fungi; Ascomycota; Pichiomycetes; Serinales; Debaryomycetaceae
Description: partial large subunit ribosomal RNA
Rfam family: Eukaryotic large subunit ribosomal RNA
Source: RNAcentral